GAUGAAGAACGCAGCGAAAUGCGAUAAGUAAUGUGAAUUGCAGAAUUCAGUGAAUCAUCGAAUCUUUGAACGCACAUUGCGCCCGCCAGUAUUCUGGCGGGCAUGCCUGUUCGAGCGUCAUUUCAACCAUCAAGCCCUCGGCUUGUGUUGGGGACCUGCGGCUGCCGCAGGCCCUGAAAACCAGUGGCGGGCUCGCUGUCACACCGAGCGUAGUAGAUUUUCAUCUCGCUCAGGGCGUGCUGCGGGUUCCGGCCGUAAAAAGCCUUAUUUACCCAAGGUUGACCUCGGAUCAGGUAGGAAGACCCGCUGAACUUAAGCAUAUCAAUAAGCGGAGGA
RNAcentral lists this unclassified non-coding RNA (336 nucleotides) under soil metagenome. RNAcentral describes it as "partial contains 5.8S ribosomal RNA, internal transcribed spacer 2, and large subunit ribosomal RNA". The stretch from base 1 to 120 matches the Rfam family "5.8S ribosomal RNA", at positions 35 to 154 of the family's 154-position model. The record is from RNAcentral.